UAGUCCACGCCGUAAACGAUGUGCACUUGGUGUAGGAGGUAUCGACCCCUUCUGUGCCGAAGCUAACGCAAUAAGUGCACCGCCUGGGGAGUACGAUCGCAAGGUUAAAACUCAAAGAAAUUGACGGGGGCCCGCACAAGCGGUGGAGCAUGUGGUUUAAUACGAAGCAACGCGUAGAACCUUACCAGGACUUGACAUGCUAGUGGUACUCUUAAUGAAAGUUAGGAGGACUCUUCGGAGAGCUAGCACAGAUGUUGCACGGCUGUCGUCAGCUCGUGUCGUGAGAUGUUGGGUUAAGUCCCGCAACGAGCGCAACCCUUGUCUUUAGUUGCCAGCACAUAAUGGUGGGCACUCUAAAGAGACUGCCUGUUUUAAGCAGGAGGAAGGUGAGGACGACGUCAAGUCAUUGUGGCUCUUACGUCCUGGGCUACACACGUGCUACAAUGGUCGGUACAAAGGGCAGCUAAUCCGCGAGGUGGAGCAAAUCCCAAAAAACCGGCCCCACGUUCGGA
Molecule: ribosomal RNA, 512 nt
Filed under: uncultured bacterium
Lineage: Bacteria
Description: bacterial SSU rRNA
Rfam family: Bacterial small subunit ribosomal RNA
Source: RNAcentral